GUUUUGGAGUGGCACAGCUGAGGAGCAGGGUGCUGGUGGAAGAUGUUGUUUUUGGCAGGAAUGGUGAUACGAUCAAGCACAACAGCUGGACCUGUAAUUACGUGACUGUCCAAGUAAGAUGCCUCCGUUUAGAUCUCAACAGACCUGUG
This 149-nucleotide long non-coding RNA is filed under the name Cavia porcellus (domestic guinea pig). RNAcentral describes it as "lncRNA (ENSCPOG00000030386.1)". Lineage: Eukaryota; Metazoa; Chordata; Mammalia; Rodentia; Caviidae. The record is from RNAcentral.